UCCCUCUUAGCUCAGUGGUAGAGCGCGCCACUCGUAAUAUCUUUACAUGGCGAGGUCAGUCGUUCAAUCCGGCUAGCGGGAA
This is a non-coding RNA of Mucidula mucida, 82 nucleotides long. The record is from the annotation of a GenBank genome assembly. NCBI's taxonomy places the organism in Eukaryota, Fungi, Basidiomycota, Agaricomycetes, Agaricales, Physalacriaceae.